GAUGAAGAACGUAGCGAAAUGCGAUAAGUAAUGUGAAUUGCAGAAUUCAGUGAAUCAUCGAAUCUUUGAACGCAUCUUGCGCUCCUUGGUAUUCCGAGGAGCAUGCCUGUUUGAGUGUCAUUAAAGUUCUCAACCACACAUACUACAUAUGUGGCUUGGAUGUGGGGGUUUGCAGGCUUUCUCUGAGGGUCUGCUCCUCUGAAAUGCAUUAGUGGUAUUCCUGAGCUUUACUACAGAUGUGAUAAUUUAUCUACAUCCCAAAAGUAUGCUUCAGCAACUCCGCUCCUAACAAGCGAAAGCACAUUUUGAUGAAUUUGACCUCAAAUCAGGUAGGACUACCCGCUGAACUUAAGCAUAUCAAUAAGCGGAGGA
Molecule: unclassified non-coding RNA, 372 nt
Filed under: soil metagenome
Description: partial contains 5.8S ribosomal RNA, internal transcribed spacer 2, and large subunit ribosomal RNA
Rfam family: 5.8S ribosomal RNA (bases 1-120)
Source: RNAcentral